ACGAAUCGUGAUGUAAGAAGCUUGAUUUUGAUACAUAAAGUAGUGGAGAAUCACCAGGAAGUUGAAUAAAUCUCAUAGGAGUUAGGAUGAAGAAGCUAUCCCACUUUAAAAUCAGGCGAUCCCGGUUUUCCUGUUUGGGAAUAUGACAACUUCUUGGUCAUUCUAAUCAAACCAGGAUGAAUCGCGAAGUAAGAAGCUUGAUUGUGAUACAUAACGUAGUGGAGAAUCAUUAGGAAGUUGAAUAAAUCUCAUAGGAGUUCUGAUGAAGAAGCUAUCCCACAUUCAAAUCAGGCGAUCCCAGUUUUCCUGUUUGGGAAUAUGACAACUUCUUGGUCAUUCUAAUCAAACCAUGAUGAAUCGCGAUGUAAGAAGCUUGAUUGUGAUACAUAACGUAGUGGAGAAUCACUAGGAAAUUGAAUAAAUCUCAUAGGAGUUAGGAUGAAGAAGCUAUCCCACUUUCAAAUCAGGUGAUCCCAGUUUUCCUAUUUCGGAAUAUGACAACUUCUUUGUCAUUCUAAUCAAACCAAGAUGAAUCGCAAUGUAAGAAGCUUGAUUUUGAUACACAAAGUAGUGGAGAAUCACUAGGAAGUUGAAUAAAUCUCAUAGAAGUUAGGAUGAAGAAGCUAUCCCACUUUCAAAUAAGGUGAUCCCAGUUUUCAUGUUUGGGAAUAUGACAACUUCUUUGUCAUUCUAAUCAAACAAGGAUGAAUCGCAAUGUUAGAAGCUUGAUCUUGAUACAUAAAGUAGUGGAGAUUCACUAGGAAGUUGAAUAAAUCUCAUAGGAGUUAGGAUGAAGAAGCUAUUCCACUUUCAAAUCAGGUGAUCCCAGUUUUCUUGUUUGUGAAUAUGACAACUUCUUGGUCAUUCUAAUCAAACGAGGAUAAAUCGCAUUGUAAGAAGCUUGAUUUUGAUACAUAAAGUAGUGGUGAAUCACCAGGAAGUUGAAUAAAUCUCAUAGGAGUUAGGAUGAAGAAGCUAUCCCACUUUCAAAUCAGGUGAUCCCGGUUUUCCUGUUUGGGAAUAUGACAACUUCUUUGUCAUUCUAAUCAAACCAGGAAGAAUCGCGAUGUAAGAAGCUUGAUUUUGAUACAUAUAGUA
This 1098-nucleotide long non-coding RNA is filed under the name Brassica napus (rape). RNAcentral describes it as "long non-coding RNA (BNAP_LNC017123)". The record is from RNAcentral. Lineage: Eukaryota; Viridiplantae; Streptophyta; Magnoliopsida; Brassicales; Brassicaceae.